AACGUUAUACUUCGGGUACACACACAGUUCCUGCUUUCGAUAGUAAGAGUAAUACAAUUCUGGAGCAUUUCACUUCGAAGAUACAGGUAGUUCCCUUUCUUAUAAUACUUUCUAAACACUACCAAUCUCUCGACUUCUAGGCAAAGAACAAUCGUCGAUAAAGGCUAAUGAGAUUUUAGCACCAUGUUGGUGAGCUCAUCCGCGUGGUUAACAACCUUUCUAGUCCUGAGCACAUUUUUUACCCUCGGGUGCAGCCAGAGAUGUGGGGGUUC
Molecule: long non-coding RNA, 272 nt
Organism: Strongylocentrotus purpuratus (purple sea urchin)
Lineage: Eukaryota; Metazoa; Echinodermata; Echinoidea; Camarodonta; Strongylocentrotidae
Exons: 3
Source: RefSeq, a predicted model, not a curated record